CAUCGCACAAAAGAGUGGGUGUCCCAAUUAUUUUUGGCAUGUGAGUUUCUUCACAAAGAAGGACUCUUCCUUCUCUUCUGCAUCCACACAUCCCAAGGCAUCAUCAGAUGGCACGAGAAAUAAAAGAACGCAUGGAAUAUGGAAGGAAAUUUAAGAUACUUCAUUAAAAAGGACUCUGCUUCUUAACGCCAAAAUAAAUGGGGUGCCUG
Molecule: long non-coding RNA, 209 nt
Filed under: Elaeis guineensis (African oil palm)
Lineage: Eukaryota; Viridiplantae; Streptophyta; Magnoliopsida; Arecales; Arecaceae
Description: long non-coding RNA (EGUI_LNC060957)
Source: RNAcentral